Molecule: long non-coding RNA, 170 nt
Organism: Mauremys reevesii (Reeves's turtle)
Lineage: Eukaryota; Metazoa; Chordata; Testudines; Geoemydidae
Exons: 3
Source: RefSeq, a predicted model, not a curated record
AGUCCGAGAUGAGCUGAUAGGAGAGGAUGUCUGAACAGGCUGGAAAGCUAAGUCACAAGGCAUGGCAACAUGAAGAACACAUAAGAAACAUCAAGUUAAAACCAUAAAAAUAAUUUGCCAGUUUAUCAUCUACAUAUUAUAAGACAACAGAAUCUGAAGCUAUUUCUCUC